Molecule: ribosomal RNA, 370 nt
Filed under: uncultured organism
Description: bacterial SSU rRNA
Rfam family: Bacterial small subunit ribosomal RNA
Source: RNAcentral
CGUAGGGUGCAAGCGUUAAUCGGAAUUACUGGGCGUAAAGCGUGCGCAGGCGGUUAUGUAAGACAGGUGUGAAAUCCCAGGGCUUAACCUUGGAACUGCAUUUGUGACUGCAUAGCUAGAGUACGGUAGAGGGGGAUGGAAUUCCGCGUGUAGCAGUGAAAUGCGUAGAUAUGCGGAGGAACACCGAUGGCGAAGGCAAUCCCCUGGACCUGUACUGACGCUCAUGCACGAAAGCGUGGGGAGCAAACAGGAUUAGAUACCCUGGUAGUCCACGCCCUAAACGAUGUCAACUGGUUGUUGGGUCUUCACUGACUCAGUAACGAAGCUAACGCGUGAAGUUGACCGCCUGGGGAGUACGGCCGCAAGGUUG